RNAcentral lists this ribosomal RNA (292 nucleotides) under uncultured bacterium. RNAcentral's name for it is "partial 16S ribosomal RNA". It matches the Rfam family "Bacterial small subunit ribosomal RNA", at positions 505 to 796 of the family's 1533-position model. The record is from RNAcentral.
GUGCCAGCAGCCGCGGUAAGACGAACCGUGCGAACGUUGUUCGGAAUCACUGGGCUUAAAGGGCGCGUAGGCGGGUCGGCAAGUCCGGGGUGAAAGCCCCCAGCUCAACUGGGGAAGGGCCUUGGAAACUGCCGGUCUCGAGGGAGGUAGGGGCCUGUGGAACUUCGGGUGGAGCGGUGAAAUGCGUUGAUAUCCGAAGGAACGCCGGUGGCGAAAGCGACGGGCUGGAUCUCUUCUGACGCUGAGGCGCGAAAGCUAGGGUAGCGAACGGGAUUAGAUACCCCGGUAGUCC